Molecule: ribozyme, 79 nt
Filed under: unclassified sequences
Description: Hairpin ribozyme 1 from viruses-like metatranscriptomes
Rfam family: Hairpin ribozyme 1 from viruses-like metatranscriptomes
Source: Rfam by way of RNAcentral
AGUCUGUCCCAGGCAAUCAAACUGGGGAAGACUGAUGGCAAAACACGGGAAAAUAAAUUCCCCCGGCACAUUACCCAUC